ACAAAGAAAGCUACACAGCAAUUCGGUUUCGGCCCGAAUCAAGAAUUUGUAAAAUUCUCUUUGCC
Molecule: transfer RNA, 65 nt
Filed under: Microcondylaea bonellii
Lineage: Eukaryota; Metazoa; Mollusca; Bivalvia; Unionida; Unionidae
Description: Unio bonellii tRNA-Arg
Source: RNAcentral